GCAACUCAACAACCAUCACUCCAAUCUGACUGCAUGCCCACCUCAUUAUUCCUAGUAAAAAAAAAUCUAUAAUACAAACAAGAAAUUAACUAAAUAUCUUAUUAAAUUAAUGAAUCAUUAAAAAAUGUCAUUAACCUUCAUCAUCGUCGUAUAUCUAUUCUCCAAUUCACACUGCAAAUAAAAACCACAACUCUCACAUACUUUGACCACAUAAGCCUGUCAUCACCAUUCAUCAUCUCUUAUGGCUACCCCACUUUGAUAUUUUCCCAGAAACAUAAACAAAAAAGCUAAACAACUAUCCUUUUCUUCUUCCACACACCUUCAUACACUACUACUCUCUUUCUCUUCCUUUUUUUGUACAUGUGACACAAACCCUAAUACAAAGAAUCCAAACAAACAGAAUUCUAGGAGUAAUUGGUGGCAAGAUUGGGGGGAUUGUUAGCCGCCGAAAUCUUCUUUUUCAAAAUCAAAGAUAUGUUUUCUUAGACAUUUCUUUAUAUAUUUGGUUGACAAGAUGUGUUUUAUUAUAGUCAUAAUUAUGCUCGUGUAUAAAAUCACAUCGGAAUAGUAAUAAAUUUCUUUUCAUACACUCUAUCCUCUCUCAUAAUUCUGAUAAAAGAAAUUUUAACAAUGUUGUCUAUUUGUUAUAGUUUCAUUUAUCUGUUUUGACAAUAUAGAAUGUUAUUUAUCAAUGGAUAAAUUUUAUAUGGAUUUCUCAUUUAAUAUCUUUGACACUUUUUAUUUUGUAGGACAAAUAAAUUUACUCGUGAUUUUAUUGUCUGUGUAAUAUUUGUCUUAGAAUAAAACAAUUAUAUCUUGGUACUGGUCUCUAAUCUAUCUGGCAGGAGAGAAUGGAGAUGAGCAUGCAAAACAAAAAUAGAUUCAUGUAUAGAAAGAAAAACACUGUUUAAAGACAUGACUUUAAUUUUGAAAUUGUAUUAUAUCUUAAAACUUAGAUUAGUCUCACAUCCAGCAAAUGAA
Molecule: long non-coding RNA, 981 nt
Organism: Medicago truncatula (barrel medic)
Lineage: Eukaryota; Viridiplantae; Streptophyta; Magnoliopsida; Fabales; Fabaceae
Exons: 2
Source: RefSeq, a predicted model, not a curated record